UGCUCUUAAAGCUGGGGUCCGUAAGCAUGGACCAGGCAAAUGGCGGACGAUCCUCAAGGACCCAGUGUUUAGCGGAGUGUUGUACUCGCGUUCAAAUGUAGAUCUAAAGGACAAGUGGAGGAACAUGAGUGUGAUGGCCAACGGUUGUGGUUCUAGAGAGAAAGCAAGGUUGGCUCUCAAAAGAAUGAAUCAAGCCCGUAAACAGGAUGAGAGGUCUUUAUCUGUCUCCACUGAGGCUAUAAGUGACGAGGAAAUGACUGAAGCAAGGCUAGCUACUACUUCUAG
RNAcentral lists this unclassified non-coding RNA (285 nucleotides) under Hevea brasiliensis (rubber tree). The record is from RNAcentral. Lineage: Eukaryota; Viridiplantae; Streptophyta; Magnoliopsida; Malpighiales; Euphorbiaceae.